Molecule: transfer RNA, 85 nt
Filed under: Methylobacterium mesophilicum SR1.6/6
Lineage: Bacteria; Pseudomonadati; Pseudomonadota; Alphaproteobacteria; Hyphomicrobiales; Methylobacteriaceae
Also listed under: 3 other names
Description: tRNA-Leu
Rfam family: tRNA
About the family: Transfer RNA (tRNA) molecules are approximately 80 nucleotides in length.
Source: RNAcentral
GCGGGUGUGGUGGAAUUGGUAGACGCGCCGGACUCAAAAUCCGGUUCCGCAAGGAGUGUCGGUUCGAGUCCGACCACCCGCACCA